Volvox carteri f. nagariensis is the source of this 73-nucleotide transfer RNA. It matches the Rfam family "tRNA". From Rfam's summary of the family: Transfer RNA (tRNA) molecules are approximately 80 nucleotides in length. Their secondary structure includes four short double-helical elements and three loops (D, anti-codon, and T loops). Lineage: Eukaryota; Viridiplantae; Chlorophyta; Chlorophyceae; Chlamydomonadales; Volvocaceae. The record is from Rfam.
GGAGGCGUGGCGCAAUGGAUAGCGCACCAGGCUUCUAAUCUGGGGGUUGUGGGUUCGAGUCCCAUCGUCUUCG